GCGCUUCCAGGGCUCAUGUCACACUGCGUGUGUUAGGGAGAACCAGCCACAUACAUGUUGGAAGGAUACGGUCAAGGCAUAGUACUUGAUAUGUGAGAAAAGGCAUCUUCCACACACUAACCAACCGUGGCAGAAACGAAGCACCAGCCACCAUCAUCCUGGCUAGGACGAUCAUCGUUUGCAUGCUGUCUACAGAGAGAGCAGCUUCAGGCACUUUCCAUUGCUACAACAGAACACCUGCUUUCCUCCAGCUCUGACGGAGGCACCAGAGCAUAGAUCAGUGAGGUCACCGUUUUUGCCCCAGCAGAGCAGGCUUGAGUUUGGAGGGAGCAGCUGGACUGCAGAGGUGCCGUAUCCGAGACACAACCUCCUGGGCUCGCUGGCUGCACGAGUUUCACUCCACUUGCCAGUGCUAUUCAUUAACCAAAAGCCAAAGCCUUGCCUGUUUACUGUGCUUUCUGCUGGAUCAAUCAAAAUAGAUGCUUUCAUACAUGUUUAUUUUGAAGACAAUAGUGCUAAAACAAAAAUGUGCUCUUAAGUGGAAAAUCCCAUAGGGAUUUUUCUAAUCAAUUACUCUUUAUUAUACCAUGACAACAUGAAAAUAUUUAUGUGCACACAUGCAAUGUUCUUGGUGAAUGUACAUCUCCAAAUGAUAGAGGGUAAAUUGAGAGGCCACAUCUGGUCUAUAAUAAAAAUAUAAU
Long non-coding RNA from Passer domesticus (house sparrow), 701 nucleotides. RefSeq lists it as uncharacterized. The transcript is spliced from 3 exons. Lineage: Eukaryota; Metazoa; Chordata; Aves; Passeriformes; Passeridae. The record is from RefSeq and is a predicted model, not a curated record.